RNAcentral lists this transfer RNA (72 nucleotides) under Sufflamen fraenatum (masked triggerfish). RNAcentral describes it as "tRNA-Gly". It matches the Rfam family "tRNA". From Rfam's summary of the family: Transfer RNA (tRNA) molecules are approximately 80 nucleotides in length. Their secondary structure includes four short double-helical elements and three loops (D, anti-codon, and T loops). Lineage: Eukaryota; Metazoa; Chordata; Actinopteri; Tetraodontiformes; Balistidae. The record is from RNAcentral.
AUCUUUCUAGUACUAACUUCAGUAUGAGUGAUUUCCAACCACUCGGUCUUGGUUAAAAUCCAAGGAAAGAUA